CUUGCUCUCUACUCAGCCAUACAAGAGUUAUUUUCCCGGCCAAAAUACUCAGAAUUUGCAGCAAAGAAAAACAAGAAAAAUACAGGCUCUUAUGCGAUACAACUGAGAGAGAGAGAUGUUGAAUGAACUACAGCUUCUGUUAUACUUCAGACGGGAGAGGGGAGACUUUUAUACUGCUGUCCAGGUGGCAUCAAGACAGCCAUCAGAUUAGUUCAAGCAAUCCAACGGUUAGAAGAAGCGCAAGUCAAAAAGGGCUACGUAUAAGAUAAGUGGUUUUUAACUCUUCUAUAUUCUGUUCGGCAUCCGGGAGGAGGAGGAUAAGCUCUCUUUCUCAGUAUAUUUCUUUUGGGACAUAAUAUUCAGGUUCUUAAUUACUUACUUUGCUUUACUAUUUUUAUGUUUUUUGUGUUAAUAUUUACAUCCCCUAGGUCUUGCCCUUCGAGAGGCUCAAUUUCCUCUUACUUUGCUUAAAUUAAUGAUCGAGUUACAAAGUAGUUUUUGAACGUCGAAAUUGCGUUUAAGUGAAGUGAGAGAUUUUGGUUAAAGUUUGGAGACCCAAGAUUUUUGAAAAAAUCUAUCCUUGACAUUAAGACGAUGUUAACAAAAGUAAACUGAAGUAAAAAACAAUAAGGGUAGUUUAGUCAUUUUGUAGGAAUAUCUACCACCUGAGUCAGUGGACGCCAUAGUCCUUGUAAGUCUCUUGUUGUAGGUUUAAGGGGUAUUAUAUUGAGCAAGACUAGUUUUACUAAGACACAUACAAAGGGGACAUAUAAAGACAAUCCUCACCCUUGAUUUUCAUGAUUUCUUUCUCUCUCUCUCUCUUUUUCCGUUUUUUCUUUGUUUUUUUCUUCUGGAUGAUGUCACUUUGUAACCUUCUUUGUAUGAGUCUU
Molecule: long non-coding RNA, 890 nt
Organism: Pistacia vera
Lineage: Eukaryota; Viridiplantae; Streptophyta; Magnoliopsida; Sapindales; Anacardiaceae
Exons: 3
Source: RefSeq, a predicted model, not a curated record